CCAGGAAUCUUGCGCAAUGGGCGAAAGCCUGACGCAGCAACGCCGCGUGGGCGAUGAAGGCCUUCGGGUCGUAAAGCCCUGUUGUCGGGGACGAAGGGCGAAGGGUUAAUAGCCCCUAGCCUGACGGUACCCGACGAGGAAGCCCCGGCUAACUACGUGCCAGCAGCCGCGGUAAUACGUAGGGGGCGAGCGUUGUCCGGAAUCACUGGGCGUAAAGAGCGUGUAGGCGGCCCGGUAAGUCUGCUGUGAAAACCCGGGGCUCAACCCCGGGCGUGCAGUGGAAACUGCCGGGCUAGAGGGCGGCAGAGGCGAGUGGAAUUCCCGGUGUAGCGGUGAAAUGCGCAGAUAUCGGGAGGAACACCAGUAGCGAAGGCGGCUCGCUGGGCCGUCCCUGACGCUGAGACGCGAAAGCUAGGGGAGCGAACAGG
RNAcentral lists this ribosomal RNA (428 nucleotides) under uncultured bacterium. Its description in RNAcentral is "bacterial SSU rRNA". It matches the Rfam family "Bacterial small subunit ribosomal RNA", at positions 355 to 776 of the family's 1533-position model. The record is from RNAcentral.